GUUCAUAUCAGGUUGAAACACCGGUUCUUGUAAGAUCAUCGAAGUUAAGCAACGUUGAGUCUAGUCAGUACCUGGAUGUGUGAAAGCUUGGUAAUUCCGGGUGCUGCAAGC
This is a non-coding RNA of Acanthosepion pharaonis, 111 nucleotides long. The record is from the annotation of a GenBank genome assembly. Lineage: Eukaryota; Metazoa; Mollusca; Cephalopoda; Sepiida; Sepiidae.